Molecule: ribosomal RNA, 2902 nt
Filed under: Escherichia coli
Lineage: Bacteria; Pseudomonadati; Pseudomonadota; Gammaproteobacteria; Enterobacterales; Enterobacteriaceae
Description: bacterial LSU rRNA
Rfam family: Bacterial large subunit ribosomal RNA
Source: RNAcentral
UUAAGCGACUAAGCGUACACGGUGGAUGCCCUGGCAGUCAGAGGCGAUGAAGGACGUGCUAAUCUGCGAUAAGCGUCGGUAAGGUGAUAUGAACCGUUAUAACCGGCGAUUUCCGAAUGGGGAAACCCAGUGUGUUUCGACACACUAUCAUUAACUGAAUCCAUAGGUUAAUGAGGCGAACCGGGGGAACUGAAACAUCUAAGUACCCCGAGGAAAAGAAAUCAACCGAGAUUCCCCCAGUAGCGGCGAGCGAACGGGGAGCAGCCCAGAGCCUGAAUCAGUGUGUGUGUUAGUGGAAGCGUCUGGAAAGGCGCGCGAUACAGGGUGACAGCCCCGUACACAAAAAUGCACAUGCUGUGAGCUCGAUGAGUAGGGCGGGACACGUGGUAUCCUGUCUGAAUAUGGGGGGACCAUCCUCCAAGGCUAAAUACUCCUGACUGACCGAUAGUGAACCAGUACCGUGAGGGAAAGGCGAAAAGAACCCCGGCGAGGGGAGUGAAAAAGAACCUGAAACCGUGUACGUACAAGCAGUGGGAGCACGCUUAGGCGUGUGACUGCGUACCUUUUGUAUAAUGGGUCAGCGACUUAUAUUCUGUAGCAAGGUUAACCGAAUAGGGGAGCCGAAGGGAAACCGAGUCUUAACUGGGCGUUAAGUUGCAGGGUAUAGACCCGAAACCCGGUGAUCUAGCCAUGGGCAGGUUGAAGGUUGGGUAACACUAACUGGAGGACCGAACCGACUAAUGUUGAAAAAUUAGCGGAUGACUUGUGGCUGGGGGUGAAAGGCCAAUCAAACCGGGAGAUAGCUGGUUCUCCCCGAAAGCUAUUUAGGUAGCGCCUCGUGAAUUCAUCUCCGGGGGUAGAGCACUGUUUCGGCAAGGGGGUCAUCCCGACUUACCAACCCGAUGCAAACUGCGAAUACCGGAGAAUGUUAUCACGGGAGACACACGGCGGGUGCUAACGUCCGUCGUGAAGAGGGAAACAACCCAGACCGCCAGCUAAGGUCCCAAAGUCAUGGUUAAGUGGGAAACGAUGUGGGAAGGCCCAGACAGCCAGGAUGUUGGCUUAGAAGCAGCCAUCAUUUAAAGAAAGCGUAAUAGCUCACUGGUCGAGUCGGCCUGCGCGGAAGAUGUAACGGGGCUAAACCAUGCACCGAAGCUGCGGCAGCGACGCUGAUGCGUUGUUGGGUAGGGGAGCGUUCUGUAAGCCUGCGAAGGUGUGCUGUGAGGCAUGCUGGAGGUAUCAGAAGUGCGAAUGCUGACAUAAGUAACGAUAAAGCGGGUGAAAAGCCCGCUCGCCGGAAGACCAAGGGUUCCUGUCCAACGUUAAUCGGGGCAGGGUGAGUCGACCCCUAAGGCGAGGCCGAAAGGCGUAGUCGAUGGGAAACAGGUUAAUAUUCCUGUACUUGGUGUUACUGCGAAGGGGGGACGGAGAAGGCUAUGUUGGCCGGGCGACGGUUGUCCCGGUUUAAGCGUGUAGGCUGGUUUUCCAGGCAAAUCCGGAAAAUCAAGGCUGAGGCGUGAUGACGAGGCACUACGGUGCUGAAGCAACAAAUGCCCUGCUUCCAGGAAAAGCCUCUAAGCAUCAGGUAACAUCAAAUCGUACCCCAAACCGACACAGGUGGUCAGGUAGAGAAUACCAAGGCGCUUGAGAGAACUCGGGUGAAGGAACUAGGCAAAAUGGUGCCGUAACUUCGGGAGAAGGCACGCUGAUAUGUAGGUGAAGCGACUUGCUCGUGGAGCUGAAAUCAGUCGAAGAUACCAGCUGGCUGCAACUGUUUAUUAAAAACACAGCACUGUGCAAACACGAAAGUGGACGUAUACGGUGUGACGCCUGCCCGGUGCCGGAAGGUUAAUUGAUGGGGUCAGCGCAAGCGAAGCUCUUGAUCGAAGCCCCGGUAAACGGCGGCCGUAACUAUAACGGUCCUAAGGUAGCGAAAUUCCUUGUCGGGUAAGUUCCGACCUGCACGAAUGGCGUAAUGAUGGCCAGGCUGUCUCCACCCGAGACUCAGUGAAAUUGAACUCGCUGUGAAGAUGCAGUGUACCCGCGGCAAGACGGAAAGACCCCGUGAACCUUUACUAUAGCUUGACACUGAACAUUGAGCCUUGAUGUGUAGGAUAGGUGGGAGGCUUGGAAGUGUGGACGCCAGUCUGCAUGGAGCCGACCUUGAAAUACCACCCUUUAAUGUUUGAUGUUCUAACGUGGACCCGUAAUCCGGGUUGCGGACAGUGUCUGGUGGAUAGUUUGACUGGGGCGGUCUCCUCCUAAAGAGUAACGGAGGAGCACGAAGGUUGGCUAAUCCUGGUCGGACAUCAGGAGGUUAGUGCAAUGGCAUAAGCCAGCUUGACUGCGAGCGUGACGGCGCGAGCAGGUGCGAAAGCAGGUCAUAGUGAUCCGGUGGUUCUGAAUGGAAGGGCCAUCGCUCAACGGAUAAAAGGUACUCCGGGGAUAACAGGCUGAUACCGCCCAAGAGUUCAUAUCGACGGCGGUGUUUGGCACCUCGAUGUCGGCUCAUCACAUCCUGGGGCUGAAGUAGGUCCCAAGGGUAUGGCUGUUCGCCAUUUAAAGUGGUACGCGAGCUGGGUUUAGAACGUCGUGAGACAGUUCGGUCCCUAUCUGCCGUGGGCGCUGGAGAACUGAGGGGGGCUGCUCCUAGUACGAGAGGACCGGAGUGGACGCAUCACUGGUGUUCGGGUUGUCAUGCCAAUGGCACUGCCCGGUAGCUAAAUGCGGAAGAGAUAAGUGCUGAAAGCAUCUAAGCACGAAACUUGCCCCGAGAUGAGUUCUCCCUGACUCCUUGAGAGUCCUGAAGGAACGUUGAAGACGACGACGUUGAUAGGCCGGGUGUGUAAGCGCAGCGAUGCGUUGAGCUAACCGGUACUAAUGAACCGUGAGGCUUAACCUU